This 538-nucleotide ribosomal RNA is filed under the name fungal sp. AB18. RNAcentral describes it as "eukaryotic LSU rRNA". The stretch from base 184 to 337 matches the Rfam family "5.8S ribosomal RNA". Lineage: Eukaryota; Fungi. The record is from RNAcentral.
CGUAGGUGAACCUGCGGAGGGAUCAUUACAAGAACGCCCGGGCUUCGGCCUGGUUAUUCAUAACCCUUUGUUGUCCGACUCUGUUGCCUCCGGGGCGACCCUGCCUUCGGGCGGGGGCUCCGGGUGGACACUUCAAACUCUUGCGUAACUUUGCAGUCUGAGUAAACUUAAUUAAUAAAUUAAAACUUUUAACAACGGAUCUCUUGGUUCUGGCAUCGAUGAAGAACGCAGCGAAAUGCGAUAAGUAAUGUGAAUUGCAGAAUUCAGUGAAUCAUCGAAUCUUUGAACGCACAUUGCGCCCCCUGGUAUUCCGGGGGGCAUGCCUGUUCGAGCGUCAUUUCACCACUCAAGCCUCGCUUGGUAUUGGGCAACGCGGUCCGCCGCGUGCCUCAAAUCGUCCGGCUGGGUCUUCUGUCCCCUAAGCGUUGUGGAAACUAUUCGCUAAAGGGUGUUCGGGAGGCUACGCCGUAAAACAACCCCAUUUCUAAGGUUGACCUCGGAUCAGGUAGGGAUACCCGCUGAACUUAAGCAUAUCAAU